RNAcentral lists this transfer RNA (75 nucleotides) under Alphaproteobacteria bacterium. Its description in RNAcentral is "tRNA-Thr". It matches the Rfam family "tRNA". Rfam says of the family: Transfer RNA (tRNA) molecules are approximately 80 nucleotides in length. Their secondary structure includes four short double-helical elements and three loops (D, anti-codon, and T loops). Lineage: Bacteria; Pseudomonadati; Pseudomonadota; Alphaproteobacteria. The record is from RNAcentral.
GCCGCCGUAGCUCAGUGGUAGAGCGCACCCUUGGUAAGGGUGAGGUCACAGGUUCGAUCCCCGUCGGCGGCACCA